GGCCACACUGGGACUGAGACACGGCCCAGACUCCUACGGGAGGCAGCAGUAGGGAAUCUUCCGCAAUGGACGAAAGUCUGACGGAGCAACGCCGCGUGAGUGAUGAAGGCUUUCGGGUCGUAAAACUCUGUUGUUAGGGAAGAACAAGUACGAGAGUAACUGCGGUCCUUGACGGUACCUAACCAGAAAGCCACGGCUAACUACGUGCCAGCAGCCGCGGUAAUACGUAGGUGGCAAGCGUUAUCCGGAAUUAUUGGGCGUAAAGCGCGCGCAGGCGGUUUCUUAA
This 286-nucleotide ribosomal RNA is filed under the name Bacillus sp. (in: firmicutes). RNAcentral describes it as "Bacillus sp. (in: Bacteria) partial 16S ribosomal RNA". It matches the Rfam family "Bacterial small subunit ribosomal RNA", at positions 306 to 586 of the family's 1533-position model. The record is from RNAcentral. Lineage: Bacteria; Bacillati; Bacillota; Bacilli; Caryophanales; Bacillaceae.